UUUGUAGAUGGUCAUAGACAUGCUUUCCUUUCUGCAAGCUAUCGCUGUUUUUUGUAUUUUUGGCACAUACAACGAAUUUAAAUGCGGAGUUUCAGAUCAGUAUUGGUCAAAGAUUAAAUCUUCACUUUGGACCCUAUCGGAUCGGUGAGACUUAUCGAGGAAUAUGUGACGUGGAAAUAUUCCCUGAUGAUAAUAUAACGAAUGUGGACGUCUAUUGGAUAGUUAAGAAUACUGACUAUUGUCACAACGGUCAAAAAAUAUGGCUAAAUUUGAACUAUACGUGUAAUGCAACUACGGUACAGAAUACGACUUACUUCGAACUUAGAGUUCCAGACCUGACACUAGAAGAUGCUGGUACAUACGCUUGUAAAGUAAAGCAUGAUAUUAAAGGUAUCACGUCAGCUUUUUCUGAAAAUAUUACAGUCAUAGAUCCUUCUAUCACAACACCAGAAUCAACAACCGUAACGACUCUUAGUGGCAGGGAUAACACAGGAGGAGCUGCCUCAGUUAAACCCAAACUUCUAUCAACUAUCGCCAUUAUGUUGUCAGCCUCUCUAGUUUAUAUUUGAUUCUCAGGAAAAACCAAACUUCUAUCAACUAUCGCCAUUAUGUUGUCAGCCUCUCUAGUUUAUAUUUGAUUCUCAGGAAAAACCAAACUUCUAUCAGCUAUCGCCAUUAUGUUGUCAGCCUUUCUAGUUUAUAUUUAAUUUUAUAUGCGACUGUACAUUAUAUUUAUAUAAUAUAUGGUCAAUUCAUACCUUAUGAUUUGUUUUUCGGUCAAUAUAAAGUAAACCUCUAAAACAAUUAAACUCCUUUAACUUAAUGAUCAAAGUAAUAAAAAAAUUUAGGUGCUAUUUUUAUUUACUUUUUUUUUUACUAUUCCAUGAACCUAAUAUGCAAUUAUAUUUAUGUCAUACAUGCAUAAAUAUGUAAUGUUUGUUUUGGAGUGCUUGCUUUUAAUUUGUAAUAAAAAUUAAUUUGUAUCUUU
This is an RNA transcript of Saccostrea cuccullata (small rock oyster), 988 nucleotides long. RefSeq lists it as uncharacterized. The record is from RefSeq and is a predicted model, not a curated record. The transcript has 6 exons. Lineage: Eukaryota; Metazoa; Mollusca; Bivalvia; Ostreida; Ostreidae.